Molecule: ribosomal RNA, 499 nt
Filed under: uncultured bacterium
Lineage: Bacteria
Description: bacterial SSU rRNA
Rfam family: Bacterial small subunit ribosomal RNA
Source: RNAcentral
ACUCAAAGGAAUUGACGGGGACCCGCACAAGCAGCGGAGCAUGUGGUUUAAUUCGAAGCAACGCGAAGAACCUUACCAGGGCUUGACAUGCCCCUGAUCGGUGUAGAGAUACACAAUUACCUUCGGGUACAGGGGACACAGGUGGUGCAUGGUUGUCGUCAGCUCGUGUCGUGAGAUGUUGGGUUAAGUCCCGCAACGAGCGCAACCCUUGCCUUUAGUUGCCAUCAUUAAGUUGGGCACUCUAGAGGGACUGCCGAUGAUAAAUCGGAGGAAGGUGGGGAUGACGUCAAAUCAUCAUGCCCUUUAUGUCCUGGGCUACACACGUGCUACAAUGGUCGGUACAACGAGAAGCGACAUAGUGAUAUGAAGCCAAUCUCUAAAAGCCGAUCCCAGUUCGGAUUGUAGGCUGCAACUCGCCUACAUGAAGUCGGAGUUGCUAGUAAUCGCGGAUCAGAAUGCCGCGGUGAAUGCGUUCCCGGGUCUUGCACACACCGCCCGU